Fundulus heteroclitus (mummichog) is the source of this 2066-nucleotide RNA transcript. It is a transcript of the gene named craniofacial development protein 1, with no coding region annotated. NCBI's taxonomy places the organism in Eukaryota, Metazoa, Chordata, Actinopteri, Cyprinodontiformes, Fundulidae. The record is from RefSeq and is a predicted model, not a curated record.
AUGACAACCUCAGUGAGGAUGACAUCAAUGAGUGUGAGAAGGAAGACCUUCUGCACGAGGAUGAUGGUGUGCCACAUCCCGACCAUGUCCUCAAGAAGAAAAAGAGAAGAAAGGACAUCAGCAUGAGGAAGAAAAGAGGGAAGUUAAAGCAGGGAGAGAAGGAUGGGACUGAAGAGGCUCAGCUGCAUAAGCAAGACAGUGACGAUGAGGAGAAACGGAAGAAGAAAUCAGAUGAUCUUUGGGCAAGUUUCCUGUCCGACGUGGGAUCAAGACCCAAUGACUCUGCACCUGCCUGCAAGUCAGAGAGCACAGACGACACUGAAUCUUCAGUAAUAAAGGGGACUUCUUUAAGUACAGAAACCAAACCAUCUCAACCAGCUAAAGUCACCAUCACCAAAGUGUUUGACUUCGCUGGAGAAGAAGUUCGGGUAAAUAAGGAGGUAUCAAUUGAUUCAAAGGAAGCUAAGAGUUAUCUGAAGAGUCAGAGCACUCAACAGGAGGAAGAUGAGGAUGAGGAGACGCUCUCAUCCCCCACGCAGCCAUCUCUUCCUGGUCCCAGCGCUAAACGUCCAGCAGGCAUGUCCAGCAUCCUUAGUCGCAUUGGAGGAAAGAAACAAAAAAUGAGCACGCUGGAAAAGUCAAAGAUGGACUGGGAUGCUUUUAAAUCAGAAGAGGGCAUCACCGAGGAGCUCGCCAUCCACAACAGAGGCCGAGAAGGAUACUGGAUGGUGGAAGGUUUCAGCACCCAGCCCUUCCCUUCUCGUUUCCUGCUUCACAAACUUGCCAGGUGCAUGGUCUCGCUAGGUAGCUCAGAUUGUGUGGAAUGACAGACCUGUGAGGAAUAGCAAGGCCGUGGAAAAGACAUGGAAUUGCUUUUAGAACCGAACGUGACAGCGGCAGUGUGGGAGCACUUUGGAUUUAAACCAACGGACCGUGGUGAAGCGCCUCACCUGGACGAGGCAGCCUGUUGCAUUUGUUCCGCAGUAGUGGCAGCAAAAGACAGCAAUCUAACAAAGUUGCAGCUGCACCUAAAACACAUCCUCCCAAUGCAGUUUUGCCCUGCUGUGAAAAAAAUCCCAACCAGUGGGCCGUCUUCCUGACCGCCCACUGUCACUGGAGCGUUAGGCUUAGUGAGUACUUACAGAAAUUAGUAGAUUUUCAGCUAGCGUGGCCUAGACUGAUGAGCAGUUUCAGGUCGGAAACUUGAAGAACAGAUUUUCUUCCAGUCAGUGAAUGCACCUCUGGAAGCUUUACCAGGUUGCAUCAAUAACAACACUCUUGAUGGACGCUGUCAGAGCGUACUAUUUUGAAUAUAUAUUUAUGUACUGGGUUAGCCAAACAAACAAUUAUUUUAGGCACAGAUAUGUGCCUAAAAUAUUCUGUCACAAACGCACGAUUACUCUCAGGUUUUCAGAGCAAUCCACCAGUUAAUAACUCUUAUAAUAGCAUUAUGAUAGCACUUCCAGACAGAGCAAUAGAUAUUCUAGUGUGUUUUGAAAAUGAAAGGAAUUUUCCAUAUCCAGCAGACAUAACGUAACUGUAGGAGAAAACUGUUGCUCCAGCCUCCCUCAGCAUGACUGCAGUGUUCUUCUCCAGAUUCCUUUUAGUUUUCUUAAAGGCGUUGGAGCUGACCUGCUGCCUUUUUAUAGGCCUUAUUUUUACCUUUUACACACCAGAUUGGGUAAAUCUUUGAACAAACAUUGUGCUAUUUUCUGUGUUUAAUGUGUGUAGUGUUUUCGAGAAAGUGUGAUGCAGAUGUUGAAUUUGGCCUGGUAUUUAGAUACCUAUAUGCUAACAGUGCAAUACUUGUUUGUUUAUCAGCAAAGCUAAAACCCAUUCUCUCUUUGAUAUUGAUUAGGAUUCAGAGAUGCAUGGUGACACAUGCACACAUUGUCCUGGGAGUUUACUCCUUCCUUAACUCCAGUCAUGCACUCUGUGCUGUGGGAGCAUGUGUUUGAGUUGAGAAUGCUACAAUCCCAGCAGGCACAUCCACCCUGCCCUCUGAAGAACUGCCAGAGUCCCUGUAUGCUUGUUUUGUUUAAAACAAUAAAUGAAUUGACUCAUCA